GACGAACGCUGGCGGCGUGCCUAAUACAUGCAAGUAGAACGCACAGUUUAUACCGUAGCUUGCUACACCAUAGACUGUGAGUUGCGAACGGGUGAGUAACGCGUAGGUAACCUGCCUGGUAGCGGGGGAUAACUAUUGGAAACGAUAGCUAAUACCGCAUAAUAUUGAUUAUUGCAUGAUAAUUAAUUGAAAGGUGCAAUUGCAUCACUACCAGAUGGACCUGCGUUGUAUUAGCUAGUAGGUGAGGUAACGGCUCACCUAGGCGACGAUACAUAGCCGACCUGAGAGGGUGAUCGGCCACACUGGGACUGAGACACGGCCCAGACUCCUACGGGAGGCAGCAGUAGGGAAUCUUCGGCAAUGGACGAAAGUCUGACCGAGCAACGCCGCGUGAGUGAAGAAGGGUUUCGGAUCGUAAAGCUCUGUUGUAAGAGAAGAACGGGUGUGAGAGUGGAAAGUUCACACUGUGACGGUAUCUUACCAGAAAGGGACGGCUAACUACGUG
Molecule: ribosomal RNA, 505 nt
Filed under: uncultured bacterium
Lineage: Bacteria
Description: partial 16S ribosomal RNA
Rfam family: Bacterial small subunit ribosomal RNA
Source: RNAcentral